AUUGAACGCUGGCGGCAUGCUUUACACAUGCAAGUCGGACGAGUGGCGAACGGGUGAGUAACGCAUCGGAACGUACCGAGUAAUGGGGGAUAACUGUCCGAAAGGACAGCUAAUACCGCAUAUUAUCCGAGCGGCCGAUGGCUGAUUAGCUGGUUGGCGGGGUAAAGGCCCACCAAGGCGAAGAUCAGGAGCGGGUCGGAGCGGAUGAUCCGCCACACGGGGACGGAGACACGGCCCAGACUCCUACGGGAGGCAGCAGUGGGGAAUUUUGGACAAUUGGCGCAAGCCUGAUCCAGCCAGGCCGCGUGUCUGAAGAAGGCCUUCGGGUUGUAAAGGACUUUUGUCAGGGAAGCGGUACCUGAAGAAUAAGCAACGGCUAACUACGUGCCAGCAGCCGCGGUAAUUC
Molecule: ribosomal RNA, 406 nt
Filed under: uncultured bacterium
Lineage: Bacteria
Description: partial 16S ribosomal RNA
Rfam family: Bacterial small subunit ribosomal RNA
Source: RNAcentral